AGGACAGAAGAAUCAAAAAAGAAAAAAGAAAAGAAAAACGAUCCAUCUCCCAAAACCUUAGUCAUCGUCGCUCUUCUUCUUCUCUUCUUC
Molecule: non-coding RNA, 90 nt
Filed under: Polytomella parva
Lineage: Eukaryota; Viridiplantae; Chlorophyta; Chlorophyceae; Chlamydomonadales; Chlamydomonadaceae
Source: RNAcentral